UCCGUAGGUGACCCUGCGGAAGGAUCAUUAA
Molecule: ribosomal RNA, 31 nt
Filed under: Laetiporus sulphureus
Lineage: Eukaryota; Fungi; Basidiomycota; Agaricomycetes; Polyporales; Laetiporaceae
Description: partial 18S ribosomal RNA
Source: RNAcentral